RNAcentral lists this ribosomal RNA (465 nucleotides) under uncultured Klebsiella sp. RNAcentral describes it as "bacterial SSU rRNA". It matches the Rfam family "Bacterial small subunit ribosomal RNA", at positions 338 to 795 of the family's 1533-position model. The record is from RNAcentral. Lineage: Bacteria; Pseudomonadati; Pseudomonadota; Gammaproteobacteria; Enterobacterales; Enterobacteriaceae.
CCUACGGGAGGCAGCAGUGGGGAAUAUUGCACAAUGGGCGCAAGCCUGAUGCAGCCAUGCCGCGUGUGUGAAGAAGGCCUUCGGGUUGUAAAGCACUUUCAGCGGGGAGGAAGGCGGUGAGGUUAAUAACCUCAUCGAUUGACGUUACCCGCAGAAGAAGCACCGGCUAACGCCGUGCCAGCAGCCGCGGUAAUACGGAGGGUGCAAGCGUUAAUCGGAAUUACUGGGCGUAAAGCGCACGCAGGCGGUCUGUCAAGUCGGAUGUGAAAUCCCCGGGCUCAACCUGGGAACUGCAUUCGAAACUGGCGGGCUAGAGUCUUGUAGAGGGGGGUAGAAUUCCAGGUGUAGCGGUGAAAUGCGUAGAGAUCUGGAGGAAUACCGGUGGCGAAGGCGGCCCCCUGGACAAAGACUGACGCUCAGGUGCGAAAGCGUGGGGAGCAAACAGGAUUAGAUACCCGGGUAGUC